This 238-nucleotide long non-coding RNA is filed under the name Elaeis guineensis (African oil palm). RNAcentral's name for it is "long non-coding RNA (EGUI_LNC014937)". The record is from RNAcentral. Lineage: Eukaryota; Viridiplantae; Streptophyta; Magnoliopsida; Arecales; Arecaceae.
GGAAAGAGUCUUUACUUUGAUAUAGAUAUGUGCUUGAAUAUUGUGGUUGAUAUGAGCAGUUGGAUUGCUUGCGAGUAUUUUAGUAAUGCAAUCAUGUGUACAAUUUGACAAAAAACCCAAGCCAAGAUAGAUUGGUAUAUGUAAGUUUUGAAUUAACCACCUUUAACUUCAGAAGACCUAGAUUUUCCAAAUUUUAAGGAUAAAAUUUCAUUUAAGGUGGGGAGAAUGUGUGAUCAUU